Molecule: ribosomal RNA, 253 nt
Filed under: uncultured bacterium
Lineage: Bacteria
Description: partial 16S ribosomal RNA
Rfam family: Bacterial small subunit ribosomal RNA
Source: RNAcentral
GACGUAGGGCGCGAGCGUUGUCCGGAUUUAUUGGGCGUAAAGAGCGUGUAGGCGGCCAGGUAGGUCGGUUGUGAAAACUAGAGGCUCAACCUCUAGACGUCGACCGAAACCAUCUGGCUAGAGUCCGGAAGAGGAGAGUGGAAUUCCUGGUGUAGCGGUGAAAUGCGUUGAUAUCCACAGGAACUCCGGUGGCGAAGGCGGCACGCUGGACCUUUUCUGACGCUGAGGCGCGAAAGCCAGGGGAGCAAACGGG